CAUGCAAGUCGAGCGGAUGAAGGGAGCUUGCUCCUGGAUUCAGCGGCGGACGGGUGAGUAAUGCCUAGGAAUCUGCCUGGUAGUGGGGGAUAACGUCCGGAAACGGGCGCUAAUACCGCAUACGUCCUGAGGGAGAAAGUGGGGGAUCUUCGGACCUCACGCUAUCAGAUGAGCCUAGGUCGGAUUAGCUAGUUGGUGGGGUAAAGGCCUACCAAGGCGACGAUCCGUAACUGGUCUGAGAGGAUGAUCAGUCACACUGGAACUGAGACACGGUCCAGACUCCUACGGGAGGCAGCAGUGGGGAAUAUUGGACAAUGGGCGAAAGCCUGAUCCAGCCAUGCCGCGUGUGUGAAGAAGGUCUUCGGAUUGUAAAGCACUUUAAGUUGGGAGGAAGGGCAGUAAGUUAAUACCUUGCUGUUUUGACGUUACCAACAGAAUAAGCACCGGCUAACUUCGUGCCAGCAGCCGCGGUAAUACGAAGGGUGCAAGCGUUAAUCGGAAUUACUGGGCGUAAAGCGCGCGUAGGUGGUUCAGCAAGUUGGAUGUGAAAUCCCCGGGCUCAACCUGGGAACUGCAUCCAAAACUACUGAGCUAGAGUACGGUAGAGGGUGGUGGAAUUUCCUGUGUAGCGGUGAAAUGCGUAGAUAUAGGAAGGAACACCAGUGGCGAAGGCGACCACCUGGACUGAUACUGACACUGAGGUGCGAAAGCGUGGGGA
RNAcentral lists this ribosomal RNA (718 nucleotides) under Pseudomonas aeruginosa. RNAcentral describes it as "bacterial SSU rRNA". It matches the Rfam family "Bacterial small subunit ribosomal RNA", at positions 54 to 767 of the family's 1533-position model. Lineage: Bacteria; Pseudomonadati; Pseudomonadota; Gammaproteobacteria; Pseudomonadales; Pseudomonadaceae. The record is from RNAcentral.